This is a long non-coding RNA of Manduca sexta (tobacco hornworm), 1019 nucleotides long. RefSeq lists it as uncharacterized. The transcript is spliced from 3 exons. The record is from RefSeq and is a predicted model, not a curated record. Lineage: Eukaryota; Metazoa; Arthropoda; Insecta; Lepidoptera; Sphingidae.
UUCAGUAGAACGCAGUGAAUGUUCGGAACGCCAAAUCUACCGAAUUGCGGCCACGGCAGCUAAUCUCAACGGAGAUCAGCCAAGAACGCAGGAGAAAUUAUAGUCAAUAUUAGAUAAUUAGCCCACAGGAUGCAGCAUCAUUGAAUAUCAGGCGUCUAUUCUAGGCGCAAGAUGUCGACCGAUAUAGAUAUUACUCGAAUAUUGCGGAAAGGAUGAUGUUCUAUUGCCCACGACAUGGAUCCAGAAGUGCAUUGUGUGAUAAAAUUCACUUCAAUCGAACAAAGUGGGUAACGAAAUACGGAACCUAUUUCUCAAAACUUCGAUAUUGAUAGUACAAGUUAAAUACUUAGCAGCUCAUGAUAUAAUUGGAGAUGAGGCUUCUAUAAUAAUUAUAAUUAAAAAUACCCAUUUGUGUAAAAAAAUGACCUAUUUCGGUUAAUUUAAUGCUACUUAACUAGAUCUAAAUCUUUCGUGUACGAUAUAAUUUUAAUUAUGACUACCGCUUUGUCUGUUUCAACUGACACGUACCGAGGAUUGUCGAGUUCUAUUUUGAAAACAGUAGCCUCUGUAAAUAUUCUACAUAUAGUGAUGUUCCGUUUAUGAUACAACUGUAAAUGUGGGAAAUUAUAUAAUAAUAUCAGUCCUCUGUUAUAUACUGUCUCACUUCUGCCCACGGGCCUCCUCUAAUACUGAGAAGGUCUCUAGGUCAUUAUGAGCCCUAACAUUUAAAAUCUUAUGGUGACAAGUACUUUUCAAGAUAUUAAUACUGUUUAUAGUCGACUUUGGAGUUAUCAUUAAGCCAGCAAGUUUCAUGUUUAAUAUUUACUACAAAUACUAAAUACUUUCACGCUCGACAUAUUGUCUACUAAUUAAUAAUUGCACCCGUCGAUUUUGCGUAUAAAAUACAUUGACACGGCACUAUGGCGCUUGCAGAUAAAAUAUAUACCCUCUGACCAAUAUUUGUUGGAAUUUUAUUACUGGGAAUAUUUUGUUGCAUUUUUGUUUUUAGAGCAUUCUUG